CUGUUGGCAUAGUUCAACAAAACAACUAUUACUGGUACCGUCAAAGAGUGAAACCAGUUUCAGCCCCCCCCCCCCCCACCAGGGUUACCUCUGGCCAGCUGCCAUGAAAAACAGCACACCUGUUAUUCUCUUGCUGGCUACAGCUGGGGCCAUGCAGAAAAUGGAAAUGGAUGCAACCUUCUUUUUGUGUGUGUGACCUCAGGAUGCCCAGCUGAAACUUUGGUUACACUUGAGAAAACAACAGCUGUGGAUGAAAACCAAGAUGAAGACCCACUGGAAGACCCAAAUCUUCAGUGGGAUAUUGAGGAAUUCAAGAGCUUCAGGAGCUCAGCCAGAACAGUAAAUAAGACAAACUCCCUGCCAUCAAGGAGCUCACAGUCUAGUUACGGAAACCACCAUAGAAACACGCGCGUACAGCGUGACAUUUCCAGCGCGGAGGGAGCAGAAGGUAUGUAUUACAUUUCUUUUGUAUACCCUUCAAACGAGCAAUUAAAAUAAAUCUUUCCCGGCGACCCUGUGAGAGGAGGCACUUCGGUAGUUCUGUGCGGGAGGAACAUUGCAAGGUUGAAAGUUCCCCCAAGCAGCUGUGUACAACACCACAGUUUGAGGAGCCCGGGGAGGGGGCAGGGUCUCACUGGUCACAAUCAUGGCUGGAGAUUAUUUGCAGUCAACUGCCCUAGAGGUAAUGGGGUUUGGAACUACUUUGGCGAUUCGGUAAAAAAAAAAGAAAGAAAACGGAGAGGGGGGGUUCAGCUUACCCAGGAGCCCCCACCACUUGCUGAUUGGACCCACUUAGCAUCUGCAGGGAGGACAACAAUGAAAUGAAAAACAUUUCCAGGGGUGAACCCCACGGGUCAAUCUCCGGCUGUGCGGGACAAUGGGGGGUCUGGCCUCCUCUUCUCUUCCAAAAGGAUGAAGGAGUCUUAAUGAAGAGACAUUUUCUCCGCGAAGAUUCUAAACCCCAGCGGGUUCCACUAACUCCAGAGCAGCGAAGCCACCGGCAGAGGCCGGGGGGGAGGGGUGUCGCUAUGUGAAUCGCCUCUCUGAGACUCGGGCCCUGAGGGAGAGCCGCGUCCCUGCGCCCCUCCGCCCGCUGCGCGCGACCCCGGGC
RNAcentral lists this long non-coding RNA (1111 nucleotides) under Felis catus (domestic cat). RNAcentral describes it as "lncRNA (ENSFCAG00000048946.1)". Lineage: Eukaryota; Metazoa; Chordata; Mammalia; Carnivora; Felidae. The record is from RNAcentral.